CCUAACCCUAACCCUAACCCAUGCAUUCCUAUGGGAAAAAAUCAAAUUUUUUAGGAACGUCCUAGAGACUCGGGAGUUGGUUCAUUGCACUCAGAAAAAUCCUAGCUCCAAGCCCAACCCUAACCCUAGCUCCAACACUAACCCUAACUCCAACCCUAACCCUAACCCUAGCUCCAACCCUAACCCUAACCCUAACCCAUGCAUUCCUAUGGGAAAAAUCAAAUUUUUUUAGGAAUGUCCUAGAGACUCGGGAGUUGGUUCAGUGCACUCAGAAAAAUCCUAGCUCCAAGCCCAACCCUAACCCUAGCUCCAACACUAACCCUAACUCCAACCCUAACCCUAACCCUAACCCUAGCUCCAACCCUAACCCUAACCCUAACCCUAACCCAUGCAUUCCUAUGGGAAAAAAUCAAAUUUUUUUAGGAAUGUCCUAGAGACUCGGGAGUUGGUUCAGUGCACUCAGAAAAUCCUAGCUCCAAGCCCAACCCUAACCCUAGCUCCAACACUAACCCUAACUCCAACCCUAACCCUAACCCUAACCCUAGCUCCAACCCUAACCCUAACCCUAACCCUAACCCAUGCAUUCCUAUGGGAAAAAAUCAAAUUUUUUAGGAACGUCCUAGAGACUCGGGAGUUGGUUCAUUGCACUCAGAAAAAUCCUAGCUCCAAGCCCAACCCUAACCCUAGCUCCAACACUAACCCUAACUCCAACCCUAACCCUAACCCUAACCCUAGCUCCAACCCUAACCCUAACCCUAACCCAUGCAUUCCUAUGGGAAAAAAUCAAAUUUUUUUAGGAACGUCCUAGAGACUCGGGAGUUGGUUCAUUGCACUCAGAAAAUCCUAGCUCCAAGCCCAACCCUAACCCUAGCUCCAACACUAACCCUAACUCCAACCCUAACCCUAACCCUAACCCUAGCUCCAACCCUAACCCUAACCAUAACCCUAACCCAUGCAUUCCUAUGGGAAAAAAUCAAAUUUUUUUAGGAACGUCCUAGAGACUCGGGAGUUGGUUCAUUGCACUCAGAAAAAUCCUAGCUCCAAGCCCAACCCUAACCCUAGCUCCAACACUAACCCUAACUCCAACCCUAACCCUAACCCUAACCCUAGCUCCAACCCUAACCCUAACCCUAACCCUAACCCAUGCAUUCCUAUGGGAAAAAAAUCAAAUUUUUUUAGGAACGUCCUAGAGACUCGGGAGUUGGUUCAUUGCACUCAGAAAAAUCCUAGCUCCAAGCCCAACCCUAACCCUAGCUCC
Xyrichtys novacula (pearly razorfish) is the source of this 1258-nucleotide non-coding RNA. The record is from the annotation of a GenBank genome assembly. Lineage: Eukaryota; Metazoa; Chordata; Actinopteri; Labriformes; Labridae.